AGAAAUGCUGGUAGCAUCACCAAUAACGUCGCGUACAUGCAUAUAUGUGUUUAGGCGGCCUCGCGACCGGAUGUGUCGCAUGAAUAUAGCACUGGAAGGUAACGUACAAUAAAUGAUAAGGCACUUCCUUUUUCGACAUAGCGGGCGUUUACGCUUUGUUUACCAAUACUGUGACUGAGCGGAGGACAGAAAUAGGCUUACGCAGCUAUGGCUUAACGGGGCAAACGUCGACAGUCUAUAUUGAUGAAAACCUCCGUCUCUAUGAAUCUGGACGGCAACCGAACGCUUAUUGGUGGAGCGGUGAAACUUGAAGCGUUUAUUGCAUACGCACGAAACAAUUGUAAAGCAUACCGUUGCGUGCACCCAGACAGUGUCACCAAGCCAGUUAGAA
Long non-coding RNA from Varroa destructor (honeybee mite), 391 nucleotides. RefSeq lists it as uncharacterized. Lineage: Eukaryota; Metazoa; Arthropoda; Arachnida; Mesostigmata; Varroidae. The record is from RefSeq and is a predicted model, not a curated record.